Ribosomal RNA from Myotis lucifugus (little brown bat), 110 nucleotides. NCBI's taxonomy places the organism in Eukaryota, Metazoa, Chordata, Mammalia, Chiroptera, Vespertilionidae. The record is from Ensembl.
AUCCAGGGCCACACCAUCCUGAACUCGCCUGAUCUUAGAAGCUAAGCAGCAUUGGGCCUGGUUUAGCACUUGGGUGGGAGGCCACCUGGGAAUACCUGGUGCUGUAGGUU